CACAACUUCAGCAACCAUCAUAGAUGCCGAACUGUUUUCCAGGUCUGGCAAAUCGGUCGUGGGCAGGAGGUCAUGCUGGUCACAGGCUUGGGUUGUGGAGUCAAGACAGACCUGAAUUCAAAUCCCACCUCUGCUAUGUACUAGCUGUGUGAUCUGGACAAGCGACUUAUCCUCUCUGGGCCUCUGUUCCUUCAGCCAGGCAGCCAGGUGGCACAGCACAGGGAGACAGUCUCUCACAUUAUCAUACCAGAGGGUGACAAUUUUAACAGGCUACGGAGUGAACACUAACCCUGGAGCCCAGAAAGGAGCAGCACUGGCAAUACUACCUCCCUGGAUUAUUCUUGCCAGCAGUCACUAUGGCAAGAACAAGCACUCAGCAAUCAACCCAAUAAUCCCCCCAUUUCACAGAAGAGGACACCGAGGUUCAGAGAGCCAACAGAAUGUGGGCAGAAGUGAUGUGCUAGUUCUGAGCCAAGCUGUAAGGAAACCUUCCAUGUAUCUGCUCACCUCCUUGUGCUUCAGCUAUUCACCAUGAAAGGAACAUACCUGAGCUGUUGCGGAGCCAAAGAGGGUGAAAGACACAUAGAAGAAGCAUGUGGAAUAUGCUGGAACUCAUCAGCAACCAGAGGCCAAGCCCCAGAU
Molecule: long non-coding RNA, 642 nt
Organism: Bos taurus (domestic cattle)
Lineage: Eukaryota; Metazoa; Chordata; Mammalia; Artiodactyla; Bovidae
Source: Ensembl